Molecule: non-coding RNA, 2300 nt
Organism: Triticum urartu
Lineage: Eukaryota; Viridiplantae; Streptophyta; Magnoliopsida; Poales; Poaceae
Source: RefSeq, a predicted model, not a curated record
UCAAAGCUCGAACCAGAGCCACGCAACUCCACACGACUCCCCCCUCUCCCUCCGCGCUCGCGCCAGUCGAUCGCUCGCCGCCGGCGCCGUCGCCGUCGCGCCGCCAUGCUCCAGCCCCGAAGCCGCGCCCCCAACCGCCUCCUCAUCUCUUCUCCCGCGGCCUCCCCCCUACCCCCGCUCCACCGCCCCGUCCCCGCAGCGGCGCCCGCCGUCUCCCCGAACCCUAGCCUCGCCGCAGCCCUCAAGGCCGACGCCGUCCUCGGCCUCGUCCUCUCCACCGGAGGCGCCCCUUCCUCCGCCCCUGCGGCGCAGCAGCAGUAAACAGCCAGGUACAAGAAGUUGGAAACAAGUGCUCAAAUGGGGGCGUCUCUCAGCUUCCCCAGCAACGGGAAGCAAACACUGGAGCACAGGGAAGCGUCAAAACCAGGUUCCUCAAAGAAGCUGCGCCCUGGUCAUUACCACCCGAGGCUGAUUCCUGACCUCCCGGAUGAGAUCUCCCUGCAAAUCCUCGCGAGGAUGCCAAGGGUGUGGUAUCUUAGCAGCAAGAGGGUUUCACGGAGCUGGAAGGCCGCCAUCACUGGCAUGGAGUUGUAUCGGGUGAGGAAGGAGCUUGGUGUGGAUGAGGAAUGGAUUUACAUACUGACCAAGGCGGCCAAUGGCAAGCUGUCGUGGCACGCCUUUGAUCCGCUUUGCAGCCGAUGGCAGAGACUGCCGCUCAUGCCUGUGGUUGCUCGUGGGGGAAGCCGUUUAGGGGGUUUGGUGAGUGCUGGGAUUAGGAUCUCUGGUGUCAUUAGAGGCUUGCUUGGCCAAGAGGAUUGGUUAGACAAGAUUCCCUUUUGUGCUUGCGCCAUUGGAACGGUCGAUGGAUGCCUCUAUGUUCUGGGCGGUUUCUCUAGAGCCACAGCAAUCAAAAGCGUAUGGAAGUAUGAUCCAGCUGUAAAUUUGUGGCAGGAAGUAAGCUCAAUGAGCGCCGCGCGAGCGUUUGGCAGGACUGGCCUUUUGAACAACAAGCUGUAUGUUGUUGGCGGUGUCAUCAGGGAAGAAACUGGAUUAGCUCCGCUUCAAUCUGCUGAAGUGUUUGACCCAACCACAGGAAUCUGGGCAGAUGUGCCAAACAUGCCCUUCUCUAAAGCACAAACUCUGCCGACUGCAUUCCUGGCUGACUUACUGAAGCCGGUUGCUACAGGAAUAGUCUCAUUUGGAGGCAAGCUGUAUGUGCCUCAGAGCCUAUAUUCCUGGCCAUUCUUUGUUGACGUUGGCGGGGAGGUGUUCGAUCCUGCGACGGACUCAUGGUCAGACAUGCCUGUAGGCCUGAGCGAGGGUUGGCCUGGGAGGCAAGCCGGGACAAAAUUAAGUGCUGUUGUGGAUGGGGACCUAUAUGCUUUGGAGCCCCCAACUUGUUCUGAUAGUGGCAAGAUAAAGAUGUACGAUCCCAAUGAGGAUACAUGGAAGGCUGUUGUCAGCCAGGUGCCUGUUGGUGACUUUGCAGAGUCAAAGUGUCCGUACUUGCUUGCGGGGUUUCUUGGGAAGCUCCAUUUGGUUAUCAAAGAUGCAAAUGGCAAGGUCAGUAUCGUGCAAACGGACGCUCUGAGGCCUAUGGAUGCAACUGGCUCGACAUGCCAAAACCCAGUCGUCUCCUGGGAGCAAGGCACUGAUGUUUGGAGAACCGUGGGCUCGAAGAAAUUUGCGGUUGCUGAACUUGUUAGCUGCCAGGCGCUCAGCAUAUGAAGUUUGGAGAAAUCACACAUACAUUCUGCUCUGCUAUCUUGAGGCAUGCAUGUGUGGUUGGAAGAAACACUAAAGAAAUUCGACCGUAUACUUGGUGUGAUAUAGCACUCGCAGAACUUUCUGAAUGCAGUAUGUACGAACAUCGUCCAUAUGCAGAACAGGAAGCUUAAGCUGUACACUGGCAAUUUCGAGCAGUGUGUCUAAAAACGAUCUGAACUGGAAGAGAACCAAAUGAAGCAGUACAGGUGGGAUGCCUCAGGUCCGCCAAGCUGGCACGUCAGGCUCAGAGUAAAGAGAAAACACUUGCCAAGAUGGAGCAUGGCGGUCUCAUGGAGGUCACAAGGGCCGGUCUUGAGAUUUCGGGGGCCCUGGGCAAAACGAGAACCUAAGGCCCUUAUAUUUUACUUUAAAAUUUUCUUUCGCUUUUCGAGAUGCAAAGUCGCUGAUAAUGAUCAAUCUUAUUCAACAAUUUUUUCUCGAUGUGGGAAUUUGCCAAACCUAACCGCUCUUGGGACAUUUACAAACCUCACAUUGUUUUUACUAAUAUAUACUAGUCGUAUUUAAAUGAUGCA